This is a long non-coding RNA of Epinephelus lanceolatus (giant grouper), 528 nucleotides long. RefSeq lists it as uncharacterized. The record is from RefSeq and is a predicted model, not a curated record. Lineage: Eukaryota; Metazoa; Chordata; Actinopteri; Perciformes; Serranidae.
CGGCCUUCCGCCGUCCCCCGGUCCUCAAGUACCGGAUGUAACAGAGCCCACCACCGGCCUGGAGUGGUUUGAAAUGACCGCGUCAAGUGGUCCUUCCAGUUCAGACCAGGGAGUCCCAAGGUCGCCUGUGGUGUUAGCUUCAGCUAGCAUCCAUAGCUCCCCUCUCUACAACUUUGCAGUCCCAUCCACCCCAGUGGAGGAAGCACUGACGUUUCCCCUCAGCCUCAAGGAAGAGUUCUGCACACCACCCAGCAACAGUAUGGUGUCACCACUGGUUCAAACUGUGCCCACCUUUGGAGAGCAAGAGCCUUUUUUGGAAAGAAAAUACUCUUUCAAAAGUGGAUCCAAACCCAGUGUAGAAAUGGCAAAAGAAAAUGGAGUAAAGUAGAGAAAGACAUCAUCUGGGAAUCAAAAAGAAAAGACACAAACUGAGCCUGGAAGCUCAGUCCUCCAAAGGUGAUGACAGGAGACAUGCAGGCACAGUACAGGAAGAGGAAGGAGGCCACACACUGGAGGCUCAGACCGUCC